UACGAAGGGGGCUAGCGUUGCUCGGAUUGACUGGGCGUAAAGGGCGCGUAGGCGGAUAGUACAGUCAGGCGUGAAAUUCCUGGGCUCAACCUGGGGGCUGCGUUUGAUACGUGCUGUCUGGAGUUCGGAAGAGGGUCGUGGAAUUCCCAGUGUAGAGGUGAAAUUCGUAGAUAUUGGGAAGAACACCGGUGGCGAAGGCGGCGACCUGGUCCGAUACUGACGCUGAGGCGCGAAAGCGUGGGGAGCAAACAGG
This 253-nucleotide ribosomal RNA is filed under the name uncultured bacterium. Its description in RNAcentral is "partial 16S ribosomal RNA". It matches the Rfam family "Bacterial small subunit ribosomal RNA", at positions 524 to 776 of the family's 1533-position model. The record is from RNAcentral.